RNAcentral lists this long non-coding RNA (17946 nucleotides) under Homo sapiens (human). RNAcentral's name for it is "non-protein coding GATA2-AS1:8". Lineage: Eukaryota; Metazoa; Chordata; Mammalia; Primates; Hominidae. The record is from RNAcentral.
GGGCCCCCUCCCUGCGCGCUCCUGGCGGCCCCUGCUGCCAACGCGCCCCACCACUAAGGGACCCUCACCCCAAGGCCCGACCCCUGCAGCCCCUCUUGCGAACACUCCGGGAUCCCUCGAUGCUCUGGGCCUCCCUAGCAGUAACUAACCACCAACUGCCCCCUCCCCAGGAGCCCGGGCCGCACACCCUCUGGAUGGCCUCUCCCCGAGACCCUAACCCCGCCACGCUCCUUCACCGCUGAACGUGGUCAGUCCGAGCGCAGUUACCUACCCAGACCGUUCCCUCCCCUAGCUCGGGCGCUGUCUGGGUGGACUGGGGGUUGGGAUGGUUCGGACGACAGCGGCGGAACAGCAGGAGCCGAGAGGGGCAGAGAGGGGCAGGAACUACAGGGCUCUAGAGGGCACCUGGGCCUCGGACACGCGGCCGCUCAGGGCUGUGCUUGACCCAGUGGAGGUGGCCCGGCCGGUGGCUCCAGAAAGGGGGAGGGGGCACCCCUCCCCGGGCGUGGCCUUCGCAGGCCAACGGGCCCAAUUGCCUGGGGCGAGGCCGUGGAGACCCGGACUGGCGCCGGCGCCAGCUGGAGGGAGACGCCCCCGGGCAAGAGGUGGCGAUUCUUCAUCAACUCGUAAAAUGAGAUCGCCGCGGAGCUCGAGCCUAUUUGGCGUCUCCGGAGACUAGCAAGACCCUCUGAAAGACACCGCGUCCCCAGGGAUAAUCCCCCGUGUCCGGCAAAGCUGCCCCGCUCGAGCGCGAACCCUGGGACCCAGCGCGGGAGGCAGACCAGCAGCUGGCCGCUGGGCUGUGAACGCCAGGACCGAGCGGAAGCUUCCCGCCCGGCCGCGAUCGGUGCCGCGGCUCUCAGGGAAGUGGCUACGCGCGUCCCUCGGGAAAGCAGGUAAUUCGCCUUUUUCUCCCACCGGCGCGGUAAAAAUUACCCUCCCCCUCCCCGUUCCGUGUGUAUUCCCAGUUUCAGCGCAGCGAGCUCGGCGUCUAACCCCUCCGCGGCAGGGUCCCGGCCACUGCGGUAGUGGAGGUGGCCAGCCUGGCUGAGUCCCCUGCCCAAACGUCAGCCCUGUGCUGCCGCCUGCCUGACGCAGAGCGGAGCGAGGGAGGGGAUUUAAUUACCCCGCUCGGCAGCUCAGAAAAUCGCCGCACAGAGGGGCUUAGCAGGACGGUUAAGGAGUGCUUGAGCAGGGGCCUCGGGAGACCCGAACCAGCCUCCUUGCCCGCAAUCCGGUGUAGAGGAAAAAAAGGAAACAGGAGUUCUGCCAGGUCCUUUCAGGCCUUGGGGUUGCCUUCCUCGACAACGCAGGCAGGAGCCGGCUUGACCGAAGCCUCCACCUCGGUUGCAGGUCCUGCGUAGGAUGCGGGACUGCUGCAUUCUCUGGCGGAAACGAACCCGCCUGGGAGAGAGAAAUGCGACGCCAAGUAGCAGGGCGCCCAGCUGGCCAAUAAAGAGGGACCCGCGCUCGACAAUGUCUGUGUGUGCCAGGCAGACCGAGGGACACCAACCGGGCCCCUCCCCAUUAGGCCGAAGACAUGGUCCUCCCACCUUGGGCCCCAAACAAACUCCCGGGGAGGGUCAACGCAGCCCCCAGAAUCUGCUGGGGUCUUGAGGCGCUGUUCCAGGCCUGGUGAGAGCAGAUUUACUCCAAUUUAUGGGCUGGAACUUUGGGGUCCCCAAAACACCUUUAGAGGGACGCGUUCCCUUUUUCAGUACUUUGUUCGUUCGGGAGUAUAGUUGGAAAUGCUGGCGCUGCCUUUGAUCACAUUAAGAAGCUGUCACUUUCCUUACUUGGGAACAAGAUUUCUCUGAGGACUGGAGAAGGUCAGCCAGGAAGCAGAAUUUUCGAAGGACCCUUUUGGCCCGAGAACUCACAGCGGCGAUCGCCACCAUUUGACCUGGGUGCUUCUGCCUGGGAGCUGGGGAGGUAGCAGAUCUGGUGCCCGGUUCUAGAGUGCUUCUCAGGCCUCUACUAAGCCGCGGGUGCCAGGUGGGGACACAGAGAUGCCCAGGUCUCCCCGGCCGUCCAGCCCCCCCCCCCCUCUGAGCCCUUUGUUUAAAGUUAGCUCAUCCGAGGCGGCCCCUUUGGGACCAUAAGUUUGCCCUCCCUUUGUAACCUAAUUCUUCUCGCCUUUUCCUUAUGGGCAGCUAAUUGGCCCGCGGUGUGGGGCUGGGGGUGGGGUGUCAAGGAAACCCAUUUGCUAAGGGACUACCUUCCAUAGAGAAAUUUAAUUCGCAACCCAGCGGCCUCCCAGCCCCACACUGGCAAUAAACCUUGAGGGGUACGGGGAGGAAGUGGGGUGCCUUAGCAGAUGGGUUCAGAAGUUCCCUUAAAGCCGGGGCAUUAGAUCUCAGGCCAGCAGCCAUCCCUCCGGGGGGGUUCCCAAGGGGGGGACUACUGCUAUAACGGCCCCUCCUGCUCCUUGAGGUUCAAUUCCAGCCCCUUAAAGCAGAAGGCUCCCUCCCUCGGCAUCAGUGCAGGCUCUCCCACCUCAUUACUGUUCUGUGUCUUUGGGAAUCGUAGAGUCUGUGGCCCCCACGUCCUAGGUGUCUCGGCACCCUGGACCCAGGCGCCUCCGAGAUUCUAUAUCGCUUCUGACCCCUACCUUCAAGCCUGGCAGGCUCCCCGCGGAACCCUGCUGAGACCCGGAGACAAUCGGGCCGUGCUUCUCCCUCCUCCACGAACAGCCACGGUUUAUUUGGAGCGGCCGGGGCCGGCGGCCUGACAACUGGUAAAUCCGUUUCGUUAGGCACAAUUUGUCUGCAAUUUGUCAGCCCGGCUGGGAAACGCUCCCCAGACGCCUCGGCUGCCGCACGGGCCCUACCUGGUUCUCGAAUCCUGCCUGCUCAUAAACGAAUCCUAGCACGGGGUGCCUGCGUAGACCUGGAGCUCACCACCAGAUGUUCCCGACCUCGGGAGAGGAGGCUUUUUCCAAAACAACGAAUUUCCUUCCUUGUUUUCCGGUAAAGGAGCGUUCGCCACACACGGGGUCCCUGAACGCGGGGCCUUUCCCCUCGUGGUUGGAGCAACGCGGAGUUCAAGCCUGGCCGCCACAGAAUAAUUUUAAAUGCCCCGUUUUCAGACAGAUCCAGAACGCCGUCUACGCCUACCGGCGGCAGAUCUUCAAGCCCGCGGCGGCCCCAUUCUUAUUGAAAUCCCACUAAACGGAUUCCGACUCCGGCUUGGGGCGGGGGGAGACUUCCAGACCCGGCGCUCUCCCCCACACGCACCCCAGUCACACAGGAUAAAGGGCUGCGGGGCGCAGCGCGCGGGGGCGCAAGCAGGAGCGAGCUGGGUUAAGCCGCGAAAAGCCGGCGCACGGGACCAGCCGGCAGGUGCAGCCGCCGCUCGGCGGCCCGGCUCGGACGCAUCCGCCGCGGUGGCCUGGGGAUUGGGGGCGGCCGAGACAAAGGCCCCAGUUCGGGGGCCGGGAGGCGGGGGUGCUUUGCGAGGCUCUGGGAAUGCCAGGGUCUCGUGGCCUGUGGCUCCGAGAAAUGGGAAGACAAGAGGCCCGAGGCGGGCCUGCUGUGCCCAGAUUAUCGGAGCCCUUUCAGAGAGCGCACAACAAAUGCGCCCGCCAUCGAAUGCAUCAUUUACCACCGCAGAUCCGAGCGCUGAUGGGCAGGCAGAUAGCCCUCUGCUGGGGGCACGCGGGCUCCCCGUGCCCGUACCACUCGCCUGCCUGCCGGGGCCACUGAGUGUGCGCCCCGGUGUGCCCGGCGUGUUUGGAUGGACACGUGGGUGUGCCAGUGCAUGGGCUAACGCCGAUGCAACUGUGCGGGUGUGUCAAACAAGUGUACCACAAAAAAGUGCAGGUGUGCGAGCCCAUCCAUGCACACGCAUGGCAGGCGUCUGUGCUGUGUCCGGAGGCGGCCGAUGAGGCGGGUGGAGGGUUCACACAGGAGGCGGUGCUGCACUAAGCUUGUGGGCAGGCAUGCGGCCCAGGGUGGCUGGACACGUGGUGGAGGAAUGGGAAUGCAAGCCCGCGUGUCCGAGUGCAGCGGAUGAGCAUCCUGCGAGUGCCUCACUGUGUCUGCCCUGGAGGUGGCUGUUUAGGGGAGCACGCCGGAGGCCACUAGGGUGGAUGUGCUGUGUGCAUGCAAGUGCCCACCCUACGUUGUGUUUCGGGGCACACAAGCUACCUGUGCCUACCGGGAUGAGCAUGCAAGUGUCACCGCUCCCGCCGGGCGUGCUUGGGGUGUGCUUGGGUCUGCGUGAGGCUGUGUGUGUCCUGCCGUAUCUCUGCCCAGGUGUGCCCUGGUGAGCUGAGAGAGGGGCACGGGGAAGGGCAGUCGUCGGGGCCUGUCCGUGUGCCAGCGUGGGUGGACUCCGGGCUGGGGAAGCGACAGGGAAUGGUGUGUGCCGGUGUGACAGACGCCAGAGCGGCGGGGUGGAACGUGCUGUGUCACGGGAGACUUUCUUGACCAAAACGGAAUGUGCGAGUGUGGAAGGAAGAGGGGCCGUCCGCGGAGUUUGGGGACACCCGGGCGUCCGAGCCCCAGAGCCUCUGCAGCUGGGACAAGGAAGCCCGAGCCCGCCGCCUGAGGUCCCCGCGCCGUUAGUGACACGCGCCGCCGACAAAGGCUGUAUUUUUCCAGGCUCGCGCCCCGCCCGCGCGCGCGCGAUGGUCCCCAUGGCGACGCAGAUAGCGCCGCAGCCAUUUUCCCUAUCUCCCCAGAGUCUAUUAUACGGCGGGAUUAGCUCAUCUCCAGGCAGGUCAAACCCAAAGUCACACAACCUGCGACGCGGGCCCCGCCCCCACUCCCCGGCCGCCCCUCCCCUGCCCCGGCCCCGGCCCCGGCCCCAGCCCGGCGACCCCCGGCUGCUGCCCAAGCGCAGGCGCAGAGCGCCACCUGGCGGCGGCGGGGUCUCGGGUGGGGUCCGCGGAGCCGGUGCCCGUGCAGAAGAGGUGGGGUGAGGGUCUCUACCUCCAGAAGGCGGGCUCUCUGGGAGCAGGGGCUUUGCUUUGUCACUGCUGUUCCCCAGGGCCAGACUAACACACAGUAGGUGCUCCAUAAGUGUUUCUUGAAAGGAUGUUUGGAGGGAUGGAUGGAUGGAUGGAUGGAUGGGCAGGAAAUUAUAGACGGGGGCAAACUGCCAAAGGCUACAGUUUAGUUGGCAGCAAAAAAAUCGUUUCUGAGAACGCAUCCCACUGAAUUUAGAAUAAAAGCCAAACUCUUAGAACCUAUGUAGUGGCCCUUACUGACCUCUCAGACCUGAUUUCCUUCUUCCUCACUGCAGCCACAAUGACUCUCUUCUUGUUCCAGAGUGUUCCCACCCCAGGGCCUUUGAGUCUACUGUCCCCUCCACCCCGAAUGCAUUCUGACUCCACUCAAGUGUCACUCUCCAAGAGCCAAGUUGCUCCCCUGUCCCCUGCUCUUCUCUGUCUAUGCAUUCUUUUAUAGUGCUUAACACAGUCUGAAAUAGUCUCGCCCCUGUGUGUGUGUUGUCUGACUCCCCCUCUAGAAUACCAGGAUCCUUGGAGGUGAGGGAGUUCCUGUUUUGCUUGUGGCUACAGCUCAGCCACUGGAAUCAUAUCUGACAAUUGGUUGGCAUCAGUCGCAACUCUGGGAAUGAGGGAAUGAGGACUAGAGGGGGCUGGACGGGCCCAGCCACCUGCCUUCAUCAUUGUCAUUUCUCUUUAUCACUACGGUAACUCCUCCUUCCCCUCAUGACUUUGGAAGUCAUUCAGCAGCCACUCCAGCCCCACCAACCUGCCCCUAUCCCAGAGGGGCCUGGGAUGGAGGGAGAGAACCACUGAGGCCCCUCCACAUCCCUGCACCCGCUCCUCCCCAUCUCUGCCGUGGAAGGGACUCAGAGGUGUCAGGCCAAGCAUGCAGGCAGGCUUGUGACAAACUCCUUGGCCAGGAGCUCUGAGAAUUAGCUUCACUUCCCUCAGAAAUGCCCCAAUUCCCUCCUGGAAGAGGAGCUGUGUGACAGCUCAGGCCAGGGGGUCGGGACUCCCCCCAUCUCCUCCGCACACACAUACCCCUGCACACAUACCCAGCCACGUACAGCUGGGUGGCUGUACGCAAGUCAUUUUUCCACUCUGAGCCUCAGGGUCUUCCUCUGUCCACCUCCCCCCAGGAUUACUGGCAGAAUUAGGUGUGAGCUUGCAUUUAAAAAGAGGUUUGUUUUGUAAACCCAGGCUUUGCAAAUUGGCAGCCCAAGUCUCGGGGGCCUGUGCAGUGACUGAUCAUUACCAACAUUUCGAAGUGAGAGAUGUCACAUAAAGAGCGUCAUUUCGAGCUUCUCUUGAAAAGUUGUAAGGUGAGCUACCCUGGGACUGUAUUCCUGAAUGGCAAUGUGAUGGCAGAGUCCUGCAGUAUUACCACCUGUGGACUUGUGCACCAGGGUUCCCACCCACCCACUUCAGGCCCUUGGUUCAGGGAUGUGCCCGUCAUGGAAAUACCAGGUGCUGUGGCUCUGCUGGUUUUGGCUUUCCUUCUCUGUAACCUUCCAAUAUCUUUCUCCUUCCAGGUACUGUAAACCACUUAGUAAUUAAUUAGUUAAUAAAUUCAUCUCAUCAGCACUUUUAAAUAAUGUGCUAGGCCACACUGUCAUGGACCCCAGAUAUACAGCAGCAAACAAAGCAGCCAUGGUACCUUCCCUCAGGGAGCAGUCAGUCCAGUGGAGGAGUCAGAUAUGACUCACCACACAGAUCGAAAAAUCUCCACAAAUUAUGAGAAGAAUGCUGAGGGAAGAAAGAACAUAGGUGGACCGCUGCUGAGUCCAGGCUUACUUGCAGAGAUCUAUGCUGGCCAGGCCCUGUGCUAGGCAGCAGAGGACAUGGAAUAAAAUCAAAUAAGGUCACUGUGUGCAGGCACCUCACGGUGUGGUAAAGGAGCAGCCCCAUCCACAGGUUCUAUUAAUUCCAGCCUGUGAGAAUUGGAACCACAGGGUGAAUUUUGGAGGACAGGCACUUACACUAAUCUGGAAGCAUAAUAUAUAAAGAGUACCUACAAAUCAAUAAAAAAAAAUAGAAAAAAAAAGAGCAAAGUAUAUGAACAGAAAAUUCAAUGAAAAGGAAAUAGAAAUGGCUCUUAAAUGAAUGAAAACAUACUCUCACUCAGAGAAAUGAAAAUUUAACCCAUGUCAAGAUACUUGGGGUGAAGGAAGUGUUUUAAAAUUCGAUUGUGGUGAUGGUUAUAACCCUAUAAAUUUACUAAAACUUAUUGAAGUGUACCUUUAAAACAAAUGAACUUUAUAGUAUGUCAGUUAUAUCACAAUAAGGCUAUUUUAAAAAUAAAAACACUUUGAGAUACCAUUUUAUACCUGUUGGUAUUAGCAAAUGUCAAAACACUGGAUAAUGCAUUAUGUUCCUAAAGGCAUGGGGGAGACGGCCUGGGGCAAGCGUCCACUGAUGCAUUCUUGGGUUGGGGUGGGCAACAGGACGCUGUCAAACAUACAAAUACAUUUACGCUUUGAGCUGGGAAUUCCACUCAUAGGACUUCAUCUGAUAUAUAUGCUUUACAUCUGAAAAAUGUAUAAGGAAAUUCACCACAGCCUCAUAGAUUAUGGCAAAAGUUUGGAAACAAAAGAUGUUUGUCUACAGGUGAAAGGUUAUGCCACUGUCAAAAAAAAAAAAAAAAAAAAAAACAGAGAGAGAGAGAAAGAAAGGACAAGAAAAAGGAAAGAGUAGUUCUUUGCAUACUGAUACGGCAUUAUCCCAAGAUAGAAUUUGUGUGAAAAUAAAGGUGCAGUACAGUGAUGACAGUGAUGUGUUACCACUUGAUUAAGAACUGGGGUAAGGAGAGAAAAUAUAUACAUUUGCUUACAUAUUUACAGAAUUUCUCUGGAUGGAAAACAAAAGAAGCUGUUAACAAUGGUUGACAUCUACCUGGGUUUGGGACCUGGGUUUGGGUGGCUGGGGACAGGGAUGGGAGAAAGAUUUUCAUGGUGUACCCUUUGAUUCCUGUUGAAAUUACAUAGACAGAUAGAUGAUAGAUAGAUAGAUAGAUAGAUAGAUAGAUAGAUAGAUAGAUAGAUGGAGAAAUAUAUACACAGUCACAUACAUACACACACAUAUAUAUAUCCUGUAUAGGAAAACGAGAUUAAAAUGCACAAUGAAAACUUUUUGACUACAAAGUAAAGAUGGAAAAAAGUUUGCCAGGAAGAAAAGCUGGGGGAAAAUUCCAGCCGCUGGCUAAAACAUAAAGAAACAAGAAUUCCCUUGCCCUAUUACCAGGAAUGUAAAUUGUUCCAACUAUUUUGCAGAGUAAUUUGCCUGUUUCUGGCAAAUCUGAAGAUUGGAAUGCCACACGGCCCAGCCAUUCCUUUUCCAGGCAUAUGAGAAGCCCUCACACAUGAGCAAGAAAGAGAUGUGGCCAAAGACAUUCAUGGAGCCCUGUUUGUUAAAACAGAGAAAAAGAAAUUAAGAAAUACCCAGCCUGGGCAACAUAGGGAGACCCUGUCUCUACUAAAAAUAAAAAUUUAUACUUGGGAGGCUAAGGCAGGAGGAUCACUUGAGCUCAGAAGAUCGAAGCUUGCAAUCAGCUGUGAUCGUGUCACUGCAUGCCAGCCUGGGUGACAGAGAGUGAGACCCUGUAUCAAUAAAGAAAGAAAGAAAGAAAAGAAACAGAAAUAAACUUAGGACACAGCAGACGGCCCAUCCUGAGGGUACCACAUAGCAGAUGCUGGGACCUUUUUUCAGGUGGACGCCACAUGACCUUUCCUUUGCAGGCAUCCAUGCUGAUGUUCACAAGGCACACAGCAUUUCAGCUGAAGAAAGAACUGGCAGGAUUUUCAUCACGAAAGGGCACUGUCUAUCGUUUAUGAAAAUGAAGCAUAUGAAGUAAAAGUUUGGAAACAGAUGGAAUUAAAUCUUCUGACAGAUUUUAAAAUAAGAUCUAAAAAAGAGCAAGACAUGCUCUUGGAUGGGGAAACUUAAUAUCAGAAAAAUGUCAAUUUUCCCAUUUUUUCCAUAUAAAUUUAAUGUAAUUCAAAUUCCAUUACCAACAGGGUGAUUUUUUAAAAAACUAGAUAAAAUGAUCUGAAAGAUUAUGCAGCAGAAUAAAUGCCCAAGAAUUACCAGGGAAGACUGGAAAAAAGACUGCUGUGGGGGUUUUGCCUUCCUGGAAAUAAGACCAUACUGCAAAGUCACUGUAAUCAGAUCAAUAUGGCAUUGGCAGAGGACUAGACAAUGGAAAGGAAUGGAGAAUACAAAAAUAAGUUUCAGGAUAUAUGAGAAUGAGAUAUAUGCCAAAGGUAGUAUUUUGAUUCGGUGGGAGAAGGGCAGACUGUGAAGUAAGUGGUACCAGCCACAACUGAAUAUCCAUCUGGGAUAAAAUAAAAUUGCACUCGUCUUAGAGAUCCAAAUCAACUUCAGAUGGAUUAAAACUUUGAAUGUAAAAAACAUAAAUGACUAACAGUCCUGCAAAAUAUCUUGGAGACAACCUGUGCCAUCUGGAGAGUGGGAAGAGCACAUGCAAAGGCCAAGGGGUGGAGCAGCCCAGCAUGUUCUGGAAAAGGUAGGGCUCCCCAAGGCUGGGAUGAUGGUGGAGACCUGGGUGUGUGGGAGCACAGGGGUGGGGGCCCGUGGGCCAGGAAUGCACAGAGAGGGGCUGGUGCUCUGCCGCAGGCCCAAGCCCCCAAAGCCCGGUCAUUCCCAGCACCAUCUUCACGGGUUUCUGCCCAGGUCUUUCUGCUGCAUCUCUUCCUCCCCCGAUUCCUUAAUCAUUUUUUUUAAAAUCAGUUCAUGUCUUUGUAAACCAAAUUAUUUCUAAAAGGCAAAUUUAUAUUACUGCCGAAAUCAAGGGUCAGUGAGCUAGUUGUGUAUGUUCUGAAUCACAUGGAAAUAAAUGCAUCGAACAUUAAGAAGGAAAGAGUGUCUAGCGUUAGCUACCUUGGUGUGCUGGGCUCAAUGUGCAUUUUGGAAGUUGCCCUGCCACCUUGUGGGCAGGAGGGACUGGAUGAGUAGGGAGUCGGAGUGAGCAUGAAGGUGACCAGAAAGUCCAUUCCUUAGAAAGUGAGGAGGUGGCAGCCAGGGUCCAGGCCUGGGCCCUGCCUGCCCCCUCCUCACACACCAGCCUCCCGUCUGUCAUUCUAGAACCUGACCACUUCCCGCCUCAACAAGCAGCCGGCCUGGUCCUAGCUCUCGCCUGGACUACUGGAAUAGCCUCCUUGCUGGAAGUCCUCAACUUCCCCACUUUCUGUUCAUAGUACAGUGGCCGGCGGGGGCCCGUGAGGAUAGAAGUCAGGCCAGGUGCAGUGGCUCACGCGUGUAGUCCCAGCACUUCAAGAGGCCAAGGUGGGUGGAUUGCUUGAGCCCAGGAGUUCAAGACCAGCCUAGGCAACACAGUUAAACCCCAUCUCUACAGAAGAUACAAAAGUUAGCUAGGCGCAGUGGCGCACGCCUGUAGUCCCAGCUACUUUGAAGACUGAGGCGGGAGGAUCACCUGAACCCAGAAGGUCAUGGCUUCAGUGAGGCUGAUUGUGUCACUGCACUCCAUCCUGGGCAACAGAGUGAGACCCUGUCUCAAACAAAAACAAAAAAAGAUGUAAGUCAAACCUGUCCCAUCUGCGCCACACCCUCCCGCAGCACCCGGGUCCCUCUUGGCCUCUUUGGUCUCAUUCCCUUUGCUUGCUCCACUCCAGCCCCACUGGCUUCCUUCUUGUUUCUCAAACAGCUGGCACACAUCCACCCCAGAACAUUGGCACUAGCUGUCCCUGUACCCAGAUACCACAUGGCUUCCUCAUACUUUGGGCCUGGUCACCUUCUUGGACCACCUCCUGAUGAACUGUGGGUGACAGCUGGAGCACAGGUGGGUUCUGGAAGCCCUGCAGCCUGGGGUCAGGAUGAAGAUUACCCAGGGCCAGCAGGCAAGCCUGAGAGGCCGGUCUCCAGGCUUUGCAGCUCCCGGCAAGAGGUCCCAGAGGUCUUGCCCUUCCAGAGAUGAAUGCUUGAGGCCCAGAACAUGGGGCCAUCCGGAGCCAAGGCCUGGGAUGUUAGAGGAGGGGAACUCGGGACUCCAUGCAAGGACCACGGGUCAGCCCUGUGCCUGUCCAGACCACCUGCAUGGGACACAGCAGGGGCCCAGAACUGGGCAUCCAGUGGAUCACUGCAGCAGCAUCUGUGUGUCCAUAUCCAGGUAGCCGCACCCAGAUUUUCCCUCCAGGGACCACCCCCUCCCACUCUCAGUUCAAGGUGGUCCAUGUGGAGCACCCACCUCUGGCCCAGCCAGUCAGAGCCAUCCUGGCUGAUUGAUUCUGGGCACAUGACUCUGGAGGAUCCAUGGAGAGUCCAACCUGGAAACUUGGCAAGAAUCCUCGGGGACUGCCCUCCUGCUGGGGUCAUGUGGCACUGGGAGCUGCGGUGGCCAUCUUUACUGCCACCCAGGAGAGCCUGCCGGAGAGUGAGACCAACACAGAGCAGCAGAGACAGAGACAGACUGGCUCCCGAGCGUUCAGCCCCAGUGCCGGAAGCCAGCUAGAGCCCUGGCCUUUUCAGUGACAUGAGCCAAUGACAACUCCCAGUUCUCUCCCUCCGGUCAAUCUGAAGCCGGGUUUUUGCCUCUUACAACUGAAAGAGUCCUGGUGGUCACAGGCAUGGCUGAUUAAAGAUGCCCACCAGGUCUUUGUUACACCCUCAUAUACUUGGGGCCUUGAAUGUGGGUGUGCUCUGAGAUGACUUGACCAGGAGAAUACGGUAGCAGUGACACUGCAGUUUCCAGCCCAGGCCUGAAGAGAUGAUUAGCGCCCACUCCUUGCUUCUUGAAAGUCUCUCCUUGGGAGUCCUGGGCUGCUAUGUUAAAAAUCCAACUGCCCUGAGGCCACCAUGAUGUGAGGAGGCUGGAGCCAGGUGGAGAGGCCAUGGUGGCGAAAGAGCUGCCGGACCAGUUCCCAUUGCCCCAGCCCCCAGCCAUCUGAGUCAUCCCCACUGAGGACACAGAUAUCACAGAGCAGAUACGAGCUAUCCCUGCACCGCCCAUCCAGAUUCUUUACCCAGUUUGUGAGAUAUAAUAAUAAUGAACUGUUUUAGGCCACUGAGUUUUGGGGUCAUUUUUAAAGCAGCAAUAGACAGAUGGAACAAUAGUAAUGAGCAAAGGGCCACAUAUACCUAUUGGAUUGGGAAGCAAGACAGAGAUGGGGCUGCCACUGUGCGCAGGAUCGACUCACCUCCUUGGGAAUUCUUAUACACGCCCGUAUGAGUGCAGGAUGCAUGAGUAGGAUAGUGGAGCCGAAAGGGUCUUGAUAGCAGAUGGCCUUGAAUUUGAGUCCCUACUCUGCUGUAAGAUCAGCUCUGAGUCCCAGGGCUAUGUUAUUUCCCCUCCUCGAGCCUCAGUUUCUUCACCUAUCAUAUAAAAAUAUUAGUACUGUGUUGCUAGGAUGAGAUUCAGCUGCACAUAACAAGGAGAUACAAAUUUUUUUUUCUGUCAUGUGAAAAUUCACAGGUAGGCAAUCCAGGGCUACUAUAUCACUCCCUGGUGUCAGAAAGCAAGGUUGGCUUUCGUCGCCUCACAUUCCAAGAUGGCUGUUACAGCCUCACCAUUGUAUCUACAUUCCAGGGAGCAGCAAGGAGGAAGUGAAUAAAGAACAAAAUGUUCACAUCAGCUGUCUCUUAAGGAAGUCCCCUGAAAGCUGACACAUCCACUUGUAUCCCAUUGGCUAAAGCACAGUCACAUGACCAUAUCUAGCUGCAAAGGAGGCUAGGGAAUGUAGUCUUGCUCUGGGAAAUCAUGUGCUCAGCUAAAAUUCUAUGGAGGAAUAAUAGCUUUUGGAAGAUACCUGACAGUCUCUGCCAAAAGUAUCUAUGUCAAGAGUUUAUGUAAUGACUGACGUGAUUUUGAAGAGGUUUUGUUUUGAACCUCUGCUGCAUGCCAGUUUCCACAAAACUAACUGCAAAAGACAUAAUCAGGUCUUUUGUAGGACAUGGCACAGGGGCUGACACAUAGUAGGUGCCCAGUAAAUGAGGCGUCCUUGUUUGCUCUUCUAGCUGCACACCUUGCUGCUCUCCUCAAUGGUGUUUCUCUGCCCCAACCCUCCAAGGAUGAGCUCCCUCCCCAAGAGGAUACCCUGUUUCAUUUUCUUCACAUCAUUUACCAUAACUAUUUGUUUCUUAAUUUGUUCAUCAUCCAUCUCUCUCCACUCUAAUAUACACAACACGAAGAGAGGGAGAGUAUCUCUAGGGUCCCACCAAGGAAAUAGAAGUCACUUGAAAAGUGUAAAGCUUAAUUUAAAAGUUAAAAUUCAGAGAUGUGAUUGUGCAGGUGAUGGAAUUGCUAAGAACAGGGGACAAUGAGGCAGCACAGAAAUUAGGAGCAAGAAGCUGUUACCUCCCCAGGGUUGGAGGGGCAAUGGGAGGAGAUGGCAUUACCAGAGCCCAAGGCCUGGGUGACACAGGGAGACUCAGCAGGCCUGUCCAGUGGGAGCUGUAGCUGUAGGAAAGACAGAGCCACACCAGAGAUGCCACCUGAGAUGAAGAGGAAGGGGGAGAAUACCCUGGCUCCUCCCUUGUUCACUCCAGGGCCUCUCAUUGGCUGAAUCCAGCAGGAAUCCAGCUGGCCUCACACCUUGGGGCUAAGCUCCCCUCCCUGAUGGGUGACACAGAGCCAAGGGAUGGGAUAACAAGAGCUAAGGGCAAACUAGCCCGGGGCUGGCACUGGUGACUUCAUCUGUCUUGUUAUCUUCUGCAUCUGGAGCUUCAAAGGCACAGCCUGGCACACGGUAGGACCUCAAUAAACAGUGGAUGAAUAGAUUGGGGUUCUCAACUCACCUUAGCACCUAUAGAAGCUGUUUAGAGUCCACAAAACAACUCUUGUACCUGUGAGGGCUCCUAGGUGCUAGGCCCACAAAGGGAGGCAUGUUAUGGCCGUGGCAUUCUGCUUGGCCAGGAUCCGAGAGGAGCCUCCCAAUUGGAGGAUUUAGCCCAAGUUGCUUCAUUCCCUGUCCAGUGGAGCCUGGCCUCUCUCUCAGCCUCCAUCAACACCCAGAAUCCUCCAUGAUGAGCUCCUAUCCCACCAGGGCAGAGAGUGGGCAUGUCCUCAUCAGGGAGAGAAAGGACAGAGACAGACAGACAGGAAGAGAGAAACAGCCAUGCAGCCAGGGCUGGGGCUCUGCUUGCCAUUGCCCUCUAUGCACUCUAACUGUGGCAAAACCUGUGCAAAGUACAUGGAUGCUACCAACCACUGGCAAAGGAAUAGGAAGCAUAUUCCUGUGGCCCGGCAAAUGCGUGGGGAUGGCUUCAUCCACAUCCUGCAGGAAGAAAUUAAAUUAAUUGACAGGUCCAAAUGUGAGUGGACAGGUGGGGCAGCAGGAGCUCUGCACGCCACUGGUGGGAGUGUUUUUUGGAAAGUGCACUUUGUAAGAGAAUUUGGCAACACUAACAAGGACGUGUGUACAGGUGAGCUCAGCAGUUCCCUGCACAGGUAAAAUCUCAGCAGCAUCCACUGAUAUAAACACAACCACAGUAACAACGCCUGGGAGCCACCCAGGUCCAUUCACAGGAGAAAGGAUAAAUGAACCAUGUCAUGCCCACACAAUGGAAUACUCGACAGCAAUGAAGACGAACAACAGUGUCACGCAUCAACGCAGAUGUACCUCCCAACAAUACUGUGAGAGAAAAAGGCAAGUCACCAAAGAACACGUAUGUAUGAGGCCAUUCAAAUAGCUCUUCUGGAUUUCACUCCUGGGGAUGUCAAGGACCCACUAGAGUUUCCAAGCCAUGUUCACAUGUCACCUCCUUGACUAAAGGGACAUGACCAAUAAAUGCAAUGUGGGGUCCUGAACUGGAUCCUAGAGCAGGACAGAAAUAGCUAUAAAGGACAUUCUUGGGACAAUUGACGUUUAGAUAUGGAUUGUGGGGUUCGAUCAUAGUAUCAUAUCAAUGCAAAUUGUCCUAGCUCUGAUAAGCAUAUGUGUUUAUGUAAGAGAAUGUCCUUGUUUUUAGGGAACAAACACUGAAAUAUACAAUAGUAGAGAGGCAUCAUGUCUCCACCAUACUCUCAGAUGGUUCAGGAGAAAUAUGCGUGUGUCUCCGUACAUAUUAAUAUAGAGAGAAUGGUACAGCCAGUGGGACAAGUUGUAAGCAAUUGGUGAAUCUAGGUAAAGGGUAUAUGGGAAAUUGCAUCAAAAUUAAAAGUUAUGAACAUGGGGGAGAAAACCCAGUUCUUCUAUAAAAACAGCCUCCAGCCUCUCCCUCCAGCACAACCUGUCCCCACACGUGGGGCACCCGGCACCCAUGCUCUGGCUCUUGUCUCUCUGGGUCUUAGUCCCACUUAGCACCCCACACCCAAAGGUCAUGUUUUCACAGAUGUGUACCCUCAAGACUAAACACACACUUGAGGCAUUCAUGUGACUAUACAUAUUUAUGGAAAAAGAAAAUUCUUGGGCUCACAAAACUGAACGCUCCAGGGUGGACUGUCUCAGGUGGCCUUAAUCGGGGUGCUGACAACAUCCAGACGAGCACGCAGGCUUCUCUCCCUGCCACGGCGGUGCCAUUCUCCAACGGACUCUGCCGCCGUGGCUGCAAGAUGGUGGCAGCAGCUCCAACCCCUGCACCCUUUUGUGGCCAAGUCCAGUGGGAAGAAUGUGAGGUCUUCUUCCAGAAGCUUCUGCAGAUUCUCAUUAGCUUCAGCUGGGUCAUGUGUCUGUCAUCCCUGACCUGGCCUCUGGGGUCAGGAAGGCACCAUGGUCAGACUGGCCAGGCCUGAGCCCCAAGCCCCAAGUCCAACCUCUUCACAAAGCACAGCUGGCUGGGGCAGAGCGGUGCCCCCAGUGGAAAAUCAAGAUGCAGUUUCAGAAGGAUGGAAAUGGAUGCUGGGUGGCGAAACGGCAGAAACCCACCCCGGCCCACGCCCUUGCCUGUCCAAAAUCCAUGCACAUGCUUCUUCCCAUGCUCCCUCUGGGGGAGGUGUGCUAGGCAGCACAGAUGUAUGCACAGCUCCCCACAGAUGCCACCCUCAUCCUUGGAAACUGUCAAUGCCCAUGAAUUUGUUACCUCACGUAGCAAAAGAGACUUUGCAGAUGUAAUUAAGGCUGCUCGUCAGUUGACCUUAAAAUAGGGAGAGUGUCUUGGAUCAUCCACAUGGGCUCAGUGGGUCACACAAGCCCUUAAAAGCAGAGAACUUUCCAUGGCUGGUGGCAGAGGUAGAAAGGACAUUGGAAAGAGACAGCAUGGGGGAAAGGGAGAUUUAAAGCUUGGGAAGGAAGGAUGGAAAGCGCGACUGCUGCUUUGAAAACAAAGGAAGCCUCAGGCCACGUAGCAAAGAAAUGGAGACCCCAGGCCUGCAAUCAUAAGCGACUGAAUUCUGCUCACAACCCUAAUGAGCACCUCCGGGAAAGAGCCCAGCCUGCCAACACCUCGAUUUUGCCUUGUAAGCCCCUAAGCAGAAAAUACAGUUGAGGCACUCUCUGCCCAGACUUGCAGUGCACAGAAACUGUGAUGCUAAAUGGAUGUUGCUUGAAGCUGCUCAGUUGGUGGCACUUUGUUACAGCAGCAAUGGAAAAUGAAUACUGGAGGUAACACUGUCUCUCCCAGUGACAGGUCCGGCUCCAGGAGCUGGACCCCAGUGACCGUGUUACAGUCUAGGCUUAAGGCCCCCCUCACUCCCAACCUCACCUGUGCAGAGAGGGAAGGAAAAGUGCCAUGUCAACCCCCAGUAAGGGAAAGGAGGAUGGGAGACCCCUAGCCUGCAGCACAUCCAAAGCCCUGCUAGAAAAAUACUGAGAAAUGUUAGACAUUGAGCUACCACAGGACCCAGGAUUACAACUCCUGGGUAUCUACCCAAGGCAAAUGAAAACAUGUGUCCCCAGAAAAAUUUGCACACAAUGUUCAUAGCAGCAUUAUUUAUAAUAAUUGAGAAAUGGGAAUAGCCCAAAUGCCCAUCAGCUAAUGAAUAGAUAAACAAAAUAUGGCAUAGCUAUACAAUGGAAUAUUAUAUGGCCCUAAAAAGUAAUGAAGAAGCCAGACAUAAAAGGCUUUGUGUGAUUCCAUUUCCAGACAGAAAGCAGAUUAGUAGUUGCUGCAGGCUGGCGGGAGGGAGGAAUGGAAAGUGGCUGCUAACAGGAACACGGUUUAUUCUGGGGGCAAUGAAAGUGUUCUAAACUUAGAUGUGAUGAUGGAUGUACAACUGCGUGAAUAUACUAAAAAGCAUUGAAUGGCAUUGAAUGGUUCAUCUUAAAUGGGUGAAUUUUAUAGUGCGUGAAUUAUAUAGAUAAAGAUGUAAAAGAUUUGUUUAACAUCAAUAAAGAUGUAAAAAAAAAAAUGUUGAGUUUCUUGGGCAGCCAGUUCAACUGCCCAGCCCUGCCCUCUAGGAGGAAAACGAGUACUCCCUGCCCACCCUUCACCAUUCCCACAUCUGAAGUGGGCAUUGGGGAUCUCAGUUCUCUAGUGGCCAGUUCCUAAUGGUGCAGAUUCUAGACUGCAGAGAUUGCUUGGGCUUGGAAAUAACAUCACAGACUUUUUCAAAAAAAUUUUUGUCUUGUUUUUGUGUUUUGUUUUGCUUUUUGUUUGCUUGUUUGUUUGUUUUUACCAGACUUGAAGUUUUGGGGCAGUACAACUCCAUCAAAAAAAUUUUGACCUCAAGUGAUCUGCCCAUUUCAGCCUCCCAAAGUGCUGGGAUUACAGGCAUGAACCACCGCACCCAGCCUCCAUCAAAAAUGUAUUAGGCAUUUCCCUGUCUUUAUUUUUAAAUAUAUAUAUAUUGUAGUCUGGGCAUGGUGGUUCACACCUGUAAUCCUAGCACUUUGGGAGGCUGAAGAGGGAGGCUUGCUUGAGCCCAGGAGUUCAAGACCAGCCUGGGCAACAUAGCAAGAGCUCUUCUCUACUAAAAAUAAAAAUUAAAAAAAAUUAGCCAGGCUAUGUGGUACAUGCCUGUAGUCCUAGCUACUCAGGAGGCUGAGGCAGGAGGAUUGCUUGAGCCCAAGAGUUCAAGAUUGCAGUGAGCUAUGAGUACACCACUGCACUCCAGUCUGGGCAACAGAGCCAAACACUGUCUCAAA